CAUUCACACUAAAGGUCCUCAUCCGUAUCAGUCACUGAGGUGGAACGAGCAAGAGUUACAGUCAUCAUACUUGUGUGUGUUUUGUUCUGUGAACAGCAGAGAGUCUUUGGGGCAGAAAUGGACAUGAGAGUUAAAGCAGGAGACAGCAUCACUCUCUACGGUGACUGUGUCUUACCAUUAGGAUCACUGAUUGUUUGGUUGAGAAACUGCUCACAUGAGCAUCAACCAUCUCUGUUAAUAGAGACUAAAAACCUGUUCAAGGGGACAUUUCCACAUUUUAGUUUCGUGCUCAACAGCUCCAGUAACUCCUAUGAUCUACAUAUUACAAACUUCAGUGUCUCUGAUGAGGGAAUAUACUACUGUGCAAAGAGAGAAAAUAAAAGAAGUAAAGAUGUACACGGCAUCAUAAAUGUCAAAUCUGAGUACGAGUAUGGAAACUUGACAACUCGUCUAUCUGUCUUGGAGCCAGUGUGUCCUGGUUCUGAGCGGUUCAACACCUUCUCCACACUUCCUUCAUCAGACUGUGUGCUCUGCUGGAAGCUGCUGUUCAGUGUGUGUCCAGUGUGUGUUCUCCUCUCUUCACUCCUGUCCUCCGUCUGUGUGUUCUGCUUUUGUCGGGCUCAAAGUACAGGUAACCCAUUCACACAUUAGAAAAAUAUUUCACUUAAAAAGAAAAUGUGCGGAGAGUGUACUUAUCCUCAGGAUGGUGUAGAUGUAGAUGAGUUUUUGUCUUCAUAGUGGACAAAUUUAGCAUUACAUCACUUGCUCACCAGUGGAUCCUUUGCAGUGAAUAAGCGCAAUAAGCAAGAAAAAUGUUUUUAGACUCCAUCCAUAAUAUUGGAAAUUAUUUGGGUGAACUAUUCAUUUAACAUUCAUUUUUAUAGAAAAUGAAUGUGUUAAAGCAACUUAUUGAAAAUUUAAAUGAUUAAAAUAAGGAGUAGCUGUGCUGAAAUAUAAGCGACUAUAAAGCAUAAAGCAUAUUUAACUAUAUAUUUGUUAAAAGUUGUGAAAGUGGUUCAAUGUAGGCCUGUGUUAAAAAUCAUAUGGUUGAAGUUUCAGUAUCGACCUGCAUCGAUUUUCAACAGCCAGAAUUAUACAUUUUCAGACUUUCAUUGCAUGUUUUUUAGGUCCUGACCUGAGUGCUGAGAUACUCAAAGCAAAUGUUUUUCAGUGGGAUCCUCUGGAGAAUCAUCAGUGUGAGAUGAGUAAGACUGGAAAGAUCUGUCUCCACACUGAAGUCUCUUAUAGACUCCUGACAUCUGCACAG
Molecule: RNA transcript, 1267 nt
Organism: Carassius carassius (crucian carp)
Lineage: Eukaryota; Metazoa; Chordata; Actinopteri; Cypriniformes; Cyprinidae
Exons: 4
Source: RefSeq, a predicted model, not a curated record